GACGAACGCUGGCGGCGUGCUUAACACAUGCAAGUCGAACGGAAAGGCCCUGCUUUUGUGGGGUGCUCGAGUGGCGAACGGGUGAGUAACACGUGAGUAACCUGCCCUUGACUUUGGGAUAACUUCAGGAAACUGGGGCUAAUACCGGAUAGGAGCUCCUGCUGCAGGGUGGGGGUUGGAAAGUUUCGGCGGGUGGGGAUGGACUCGCGGCUUAUCAGCUUGUUGGUGGGGUAGUGGCGUACCAAGGCUUUGACGGGUAGCCGGCCUGAGAGGGGGACCGGCCACAUUGGGACUGAGAUACGGCCCAGACUCCUACGGGAGGCAGCAGUGGGGAAUCUGGCACAAUGGGCGGAAGCCUGAUGCAGAAACGCCGCGUUCGGGAUGACGGCCUUCGGGUUGUAAACCGCUUUCGCCUGUGACGAAGCGUGAGUGACGGUACUGGGUAAAGAAGCACCGGCUAACUACGUG
This 468-nucleotide ribosomal RNA is filed under the name uncultured bacterium. RNAcentral's name for it is "partial 16S ribosomal RNA". It matches the Rfam family "Bacterial small subunit ribosomal RNA", at positions 28 to 507 of the family's 1533-position model. The record is from RNAcentral.